UAGGGAAUAUUGCACAAUGGAGGAAACUCUGAUGCAGCGACGCCGCGUGAGUGAUGAAGGCCUUCGGGUUGUAAAACUCUGUGAUAAGGGAAGAUGAUGACGGUACCUUAUCAGAAAAGACCGGCUAACUUCGUGCCAGCAGCCGCGGUAAUACGAGGGGUCUAAGCGUUGUUCGGAAUCACUGGGCGUAAAGCGGGUGUAGGUGGCUCAGCAAGUUAGAUGUGAAAGCCCCGGGCUCAACCCGGGAAGUGCAUCUAAAACUACUGAGCUUGAGUACGGGAGAGGGAAGCAGAAUUCCUGGUGUAGUGGUGAAAUACGUAGAUAUCAGGAGGAACACCGGUGGCGAAGGCGGUUUCCUGGCCCAGUACUGACACUCAGACCCGAAAGCGUGGGUAGCAAACAGG
This 404-nucleotide ribosomal RNA is filed under the name uncultured bacterium. RNAcentral's name for it is "bacterial SSU rRNA". It matches the Rfam family "Bacterial small subunit ribosomal RNA", at positions 355 to 776 of the family's 1533-position model. The record is from RNAcentral.